This 207-nucleotide non-coding RNA is filed under the name Dokdonella koreensis. RNAcentral also lists the same sequence under 1 other name. Lineage: Bacteria; Pseudomonadati; Pseudomonadota; Gammaproteobacteria; Lysobacterales; Rhodanobacteraceae. The record is from RNAcentral.
UACACUGCCCCGGUCUCAGGUGCCCCGCGGCGAUUGCCGCCGCAGGGUUGAACGGGAAGCCGGUGUGAAUCCGGCGCUGCCCCCGCAACGGUAAGCGAGUCAAGGCCGAUCGAAAUGCCACUGCGCCUUCGGGCGUGGGAAGGCGAUCGGCCGAUGCGUUCCGCAUCGCUCGCAAGCCCGGAUACCGGCCUGGGAUCUUUCGUCCUC